AUUGAACGCUGGCGGCAUGCCUUACACAUGCAAGUCGAACGGCAGCACGGGAGCAAUCCUGGUGGCGAGUGGCGAACGGGUGAGUAAUAUAUCGGAACGUACCCUAGAGUGGGGAUAACGCAGCGAAAGUUGCGCUAAUACCGCAUACGAUCUACGGAUGAAAGCGGGGGAUCGCAAGACCUCGCGCGAUUGGAGCGGCCGAUAUCAGAUUAGGUAGUUGGUGAGGUAAAGGCUCACCAAGCCGACGAUCUGUAGCUGGUCUGAGAGGACGACCAGCCACACUGGGACUGAGACACGGCCCAGACUCCUACGGGAGGCAGCAGUGGGGAAUUUUGGACAAUGGGCGCAAGCCCGAUCCAGCAAUGCCGCGUGCAGGAUGAAGGCC
RNAcentral lists this ribosomal RNA (385 nucleotides) under uncultured bacterium. Its description in RNAcentral is "bacterial SSU rRNA". It matches the Rfam family "Bacterial small subunit ribosomal RNA", at positions 29 to 416 of the family's 1533-position model. The record is from RNAcentral.